Paramuricea clavata is the source of this 350-nucleotide non-coding RNA. Lineage: Eukaryota; Metazoa; Cnidaria; Anthozoa; Malacalcyonacea; Plexauridae. The record is from the annotation of a GenBank genome assembly.
AAAGUUUUAUGUAAUUUGACGCAAAGGAAGUCACUCUUGAUAGUUAAUUUAAAAUGUGCAACAAAGCCAACAAUUUAAGAACCAGUUGGGUUAUUUUCGAAAUUUGUGAGAAAUUACCAAGCUGUGAGCUCACCGCGAGGUUUUAGUAAAAUAUGUGAUGCUGAUGGUGGAUCCGUGAGAGUUGGCAACUUUGCCCUGUAUACAUGUGCCUUAAUUUAUAUAUUCUUUACCAUUUAUUGAGUCAACGGCUGUUCAAAUGUACAUGUUUAUGUUGAAAUCAGUUUAGUAAAUGGUGUUGUGUUGGAGUUUGCUACAGUUCUACUGCUCUCUAUUUUUUAUCUGUAGGUUUU